This 247-nucleotide long non-coding RNA is filed under the name Brassica napus (rape). Its description in RNAcentral is "long non-coding RNA (BNAP_LNC015201)". The record is from RNAcentral. Lineage: Eukaryota; Viridiplantae; Streptophyta; Magnoliopsida; Brassicales; Brassicaceae.
CGAUCGAUACACAGAUGUGAGUAUCCAUCGAUUAUUCCUCUCCAAUAUUGACCGAUGGUCGAGCUCGAUGGUCAUCUCGGGUACUUGCUCCAAAUAUCUCCAAAAUGCUCCAAAAUUAUCACUUAUCUCCAAAACACUCCUGAUCAUAUAAAUAUGAUAUAUAGACUCUAUAAUAUAAUAAUUAUUAGUAAAAACACCUAUAAACUAUGAAUGAAAAUGGGUCAAACCCAUAGUCUAUCAACUCCUC